Long non-coding RNA from Phyllopteryx taeniolatus (common seadragon), 589 nucleotides. RefSeq lists it as uncharacterized. The record is from RefSeq and is a predicted model, not a curated record. The transcript is spliced from 3 exons. Lineage: Eukaryota; Metazoa; Chordata; Actinopteri; Syngnathiformes; Syngnathidae.
CCCACAGCAUCGGUCGCCGCCAACUUCACCUCCGCCACCCCGUCCCCCUCUGCCACCGCCCCCGCCGAAGCACCCGCUCUCCCUUUGGCGUCCGACGGGCGGAGGACCGGCAGCGGCGGCGCCUCCUCGGGGGAGGCGGUGCUGAGCGGCGUGCCGCUUCCGCCUCCCUUCUCCUGCCAGAAGAAUCCGGUGACCAUGAUGAAGGACUUGAUGUUGGGCACAAAGAAAAACCACGGCAAGACUACAAAGCAUCUGAGGGACUAUUCACGAUCUCUGCCGGAGUCUGACCGAGUCCAGUGACCUCACCUAACGAGCACCCGCGGGGAUGGAGAGAUGACACCUGGCUCUUCCUCUCCUGCAAAGGCAACAUCUUGCGUCCAGCCUCUUCCCUCACCUCCUGCUGAUCAUAUAUCAACUCCUGGCUCACCUCCAACGUCAUGAAAUUAAACAGUGACAAAACGGAAAUUCUCCUCAUUGGCACCAAAUACGUGAUCGGAAGUUGACAUGUUUUGCGUUCCAGUCGGCCUCUGCUUGGUUCCCCCUUCUCUUGAGGUUCAAAGUCUGGAUGUUCGAAUGAAAGUCUUACUAU